CAGUAGCCACGGUAAUACGAAGGGUGCAAGCGUUAAUCGGAAUUACUGGGCGUAAAGCGUGCGUAGGCGGUUUGCUAAGUCUGUUGUGAAAUCCCCGGGCUCAACCUGGGAAUGGCAAUGGAUACUGGCAAGCUAGAGUGUGUCAGAGGAUGGUGGAAUUCCCGGUGUAGCGGUGAAAUGCGUAGAGAUCGGGAGGAACAUCAGUGGCGAAGGCGGCCAUCUGGGACAACACUGACGCUGAGGCACGAAAGCGUGGGGAGCAAACAGGAUUAGAUACCCCUGUAGUCCCUGUCUCUUAUAC
This 301-nucleotide ribosomal RNA is filed under the name uncultured bacterium. RNAcentral's name for it is "partial 16S ribosomal RNA". It matches the Rfam family "Bacterial small subunit ribosomal RNA", at positions 509 to 807 of the family's 1533-position model. The record is from RNAcentral.